This 1236-nucleotide long non-coding RNA is filed under the name Toxoplasma gondii VEG. The record is from RNAcentral. Lineage: Eukaryota; Apicomplexa; Conoidasida; Eucoccidiorida; Sarcocystidae.
CCUAGUACCUGUGCUUGCUGCGAGUUUUAGCUUCGCCAAACGUACGGCAGGAAUCGGAUGCCCGGCUAGACGGCGAUGACCUGAUGAAUAUGAGGAGCGAUUGGUUCAGUCAAGAGGUUAUUCCAGCAGGCAUCGGGGGGCAAGACGACAUACCUGAGAACAGCAGUAAUACGGUAAAUGGCAGUACAGUCCGGAGCAGAUGAACUGGUUUCAAAAGUAGGUAAACCAUCUCCACUCCUUUUGUGGCAUUCUUCGUUGCUGCGAUUGUGUUUUCAGGGGGAAAAGUCGAGUUUGAAAAGAAAGCAUUGAGCGUAUCUACGAUGUUGUAAGAGUGUGACACGGAAACCGAACGGCAAGACGAGGCGGCAGAAGGUGGAGGACUGAAGGAGAAUGUUAACUUCAUGACCUCGUGGGCUUCAGAUACAUGUUUCUCAACAUGUGCUGUCGGUCGGGUGAAGGAGGCGGUUGUCUGUCUGCUUUUCUCCACGAAGAAAGAGAAUGUUAAAGAAACUAGCGAUUUCAUUCGCAGUGAGACAUUCGGUUUCUCAAUCUCGAGCGGUGCGUCCUGUCUGUCCUCCUGGGUCAUCAAUGUGUCGUCAGCGUCGCCCGCGCCCCAGAUGCAGAAAAAGACAUUCGACAGGAGGACGGCAUACAGUUGGAGGCUGUGGAAACGAAGAGACAAGAGGGGAAGUUAACUCCAACCUGAAAGGUCACGAGGACAAAAACGUCAACCAUGACACAGCUCUUACUGUGUGGUCCCGAUUUCUUUACAAAGCUUUUCCUGAAGCACCUUCGUGUGCAUCGUCGUCCUGGGAAAAUGCAGAGGAUGAACGACAAAAGGAGGAACAGAGUCAAGUUUGCGCGGUGUUGUAGAUGAAAGUGAUUACCAUAUAUUGUUUUGUGGCCAGAUAAAGAACCAAAACAAUGAUGAAGUGGUGAAGUAUAGUGCUCGAUUGCAGCAGGAGAAGACGCAUGGCAACAGUAUGCUCUCCUGGUUCCUUUGUCAUGGGCAGGCCUAAGUGUUUUUUGCAUCCUAUGGGGAAGAAUGAAAAAGAAUCUAGGGACGUGGAGAGCAGGGGAAAGACAAGAAUGUGUCAUAAGGGGUGUUGUGCACAAAGGAUUCAUUUUGUUGGUACCGUUGUUAUCGCCACGGAAGAGUGUAUGGAGUUACGAAAAGGAGUGGUCUGAUUUUUAGGCAAUACUGGUCUUGUUCUCAAGUACUGCGGUAACCAGGCA